UUUGCGUUAGGGAUAGCAGCGGCAUCCUUUUGCGAAACGAAGUGUAGCAAAAGAUAUAGCGGAUAGCCCGAUUCGCC
This 77-nucleotide small RNA is filed under the name Flavobacterium saliperosum. Its description in RNAcentral is "Flavo-1 RNA". It matches the Rfam family "Flavo-1 RNA". The record is from RNAcentral. Lineage: Bacteria; Pseudomonadati; Bacteroidota; Flavobacteriia; Flavobacteriales; Flavobacteriaceae.